ACCUUCUUGUUGAAAAGCACUGCAUCAGGUUUUUGUCUUCUUGCUUUGUCCAGUCCUCUUUGGAGUGGUAUACUCACUAUACUUAUUAUAUAAUAAACAAUGAAUUUUGUCCAAGUCUGCCUUAAAAGUAAAGGAACUAAUGAUAUAAAGGAGAAAAUUGAAAGACAAUGUCAAACUAUUGGGUGACUUAUGUGAAAAGACCAUGAAUAAUCAUUUACAAGAUUGUGCAGUAUCCACUUCAGAAGCAACUUAAUGAAGAGCUGAUGUUUGAAUGUAUUAAUCAUUAGUUCACUUUUUACUGUUCUAGAUGAUGGCAAUGUGGAUUCUCAUGGUCAUUUGAAACCCAUGGGGGAAAAUGGCUCUUCCUGUAUUCAGGCCCUUUGUAGUGUGACUUUGUGGCAACUCCCAUCAAUAGGUAGAUUAUUGUUUACCCCUCAAAUCUGGGUUGGCCACUAUGACUUUCUUUGUCUGACAGCAUGUAGGAGAAGUAUUGUUGUGGCAUUUCCGAACCUAGACCUCAAAAAGGCCUUGCCCUUGUCUUUCUUCUCUUAGACCCUGUCCAUCAGCCAGGUGAGCAAGCCUGGGCUAGUUAGCUGAAGGAUAAGAGACCAUGUGGAGGAAGCCAGAGGAGCCAUCCAUCUGGGGCCACCCAAGGUCAGCCAGCACCUCUAAUCACAGAGCCACGAGGGAGUUAGCCCAGAUUUAGAAGGUGAGGAUAUUGACUUCAUCUCUUGAUGCAAGGAGUUGCAGUUACAUUGCAAAGGGAUGCAGAUACAGGGAAGGUUGGAGAAUUGCAGCCACUUUUGCACAAUCUACCACAACUACUGCAUUGUAGCUGCUAUGCACAUUAAAUAAGUAAAGACAUAUGAAACAUUUAUAUCAGGUCCUGACAACAAAUAAGUGUUCAACAAGUGUGAGCUAUUAUUACUGUUUCUAAAAUGGAUCCCUUAUCAUGGAGAAGGUCAAAUUAAUGCUGCCGUGCCUCUUACUCUUAGAAACUGACACUGAAAGUUCCCACAUAACUGAGGUUCAAUCUAUGAGCACAUCCAGAAACUCAAGUGAGGGAAAAUGCAAUCAAACCACAUAUGAAAAAUCAAUAGAUCCCUAAAUAAUCUUUCCCUCCUGAAUGGAAGCAACACAUUUGAAAACUCUUCUCCCUCCACCCCUACCAAAAAAAAAAAAAAAAAAAAAAAAAGCAGUGCAUGUUGCCUCUUCUAUUCAGGCUGUGACCAAAGGUUUCAAUGGUAAAGAUGACUCAUACCUUAAAGAACUAGAAGAAUUUUUUUUAUGGCUUCUCUAUCCAUUGUCUUGCUCUCAUAAAACUGCUGAAUGACACCCAAGUGUAAAACCCACCAAAGAAAUAAGCGCUGGAUGACAUGUGGCAGAUUUUCCAACUCUCCAGGAAAAACUUCAGAUCAACUUGUUUCUCUGGAAACUACUCACAUCCGGGGGCUGUCCCUGUCCCCUGGGACUCAUAAACGUUCCUAUCUUCAAGGCACAGCAGAUACUGGUUGCAUUUUGCCUCUGCCCUAGAGAUUUGUGGAACUUCGAACUUGAGAGAGAUGAUUUACAGUACCUGGUGGAAGAAAUUUCAAAGCAGCAAAGCUUUCAAGAGGUGACUUGGGUGCUGUUAAAGUCAUUCAGUUUUAAAGGAAAACAGAGCAUAAAAGUUUGGAAAAUUUGCAGCCUGACAAUGAGAUAGAAGAGAAAAUUCCAUUUUCUGAGGAGAAAUUCAAGCCAGCUGCAGAAAUUUGCAAAAGUAAUGAGGAGCUGAAUGUUAAUCACCAAGACAAUAGGGAAAAUGUCUCCAGCGUGUGUCAGAGACCUUUGUGACAACCCCUCCCUUCACAGGCCAGGAGGUUUAGGAGGAAUAAACGUCUUAAAUAUUGGGUCAGGCCCAUGGUCCCUCCACUGUGUGCAGACUAGAGACUUGGUGCCCUGAAUCCUAGCCACUCUAGUCAUGAAUAAAAGGGGCCAAAGUACAGCUUGGGCUAUUGCUUCAGAGGGUGCAAGCCCCAAGUCUUGGUAGGUUCCACAUGGUGUUGAGCCUUCGGGUGCACAAAAGUCAAGAACUGAGGUUUGGUUACCUCUGCCUAGAUUUUGGAUGAUGCAUGGAAACGCCUGGAUGCCCAGGCAGAAGUUUGCUGCAGGGGCAGAGCCCUCAUGGGGAACUUCUGGUAAGGCAAUGAGGAAGGGAAAUGUGGGAUCAGAGCCACCACACAGAGUCCCUAAUGGGCACCACCUAGUGGAGCUGUGAGAAGAGGGCUACCGUCCUCCAAACCCAGACCCCAGAAUGGUAGAUCCAUCGGCAGCUUGCACCGUGCACCUGGAACAGCCAUCAACACUCAAUGCCAGCCUGUGAAAGCAGCUGGGAGGGAGGCUGUACCCUGCAAUGCCACAGGGGCAGAACUGCACAAGACCAUGGGAACCCAUCUCUUGCAUUAGCGUGACCUAGAUGUGAGACAUGGAAUCAAAGGAGAUCAUUUGGAGCUCCAAGAUUUGACUGCUGGAUUUUGGACUUGCAUGGGGCCUGUGGCCCUCUGUUUUGGCCAAUUUCUCCCAUUUGGAAUGGCUGUAUUUACCCAAUGCCUGUACCCCCAUUGUAUCUAGGAAGUAACUAACUUGCUUUCGAUUUUACAGGCUCAUAGGUGGAAGGGAAUUACCUUAUCUCAGAUGAGACUUUGGACUGUGGACUUUUGAGUUAAUGCUGUAAUGAGUUAAGACUUUGGGGGACUAUUGGGAAAGCAUGAUUGGUUUUGAAAUGUGAAAACAUGAGAUUUGGGAGGAGCCAGAGGCAGAAUGAUAUGACUUGGCUCUGUGUCCCCACCCAAAUCUCAUCUUGUAGCUCCCCUGCUUCCCAUGUGUUGUGGGAGGGACCCAGUGGGAGAUGAUUGAAUCAUUGGGGCUGGUCUUUUUCUGUGCUGUUCUUGUGGUGGUGAAUGCAUCUCAUGAGAUUUGAUGGUUUUGAAAAUGGGAGUUCUCUUCACAAGCUCUUUUUUUGCCUGCUGCCAUCCAUGUAAGACGUGACUUGUUCCUCCUUGCCUUCCACCGUGAUUGUGAGACCUCCCCAGCCACGUGGAACUGUGAGUCCAAUUAAACCUUUUUACUUUGUAAAUUGUCCAGUCUCGAGUAUGUCUUUAUCAGCAGUGUGAAAAUGAACUACCAUAAUAUGCAAACACACAAUUCAUGUUAUGCUCAGAUUCUUCCAUAGUCUAUCAAUAUCACUGACACAAAUUUAUGUUUCCAAAACAAGACUUAGAGCAGGACUGGCUGUGUAUCUAUUAGUGGCUAUUCAUGGGCAGGGCAAGUCAUGAACCACUGUACUUGUUCCAAGUCACCUAGCUGGUCAUUGGCAAAGCCAGGGCUGCAACCUAGCUCUCUAGAUGAAGAGCUGAACUAUCUUACCAGGCCACUAUGCUAUCAUAUCUGUUUGUGAAUACAAGGGAUAAAGUGCAGAACAUGGAAGUGCUUUGAAAGGUAUAAAGUGAUCAAUGUUAUAUGCAACUAGAAAGGCUAUGAGUCUUUUAUUUUGUUCUCUAUGACAAGAGAACAAUAUUUCCACUCUGUUUCUUGUUAUAAAUAACUUUGCCUAAUCCUCUAGAAAAGCAAGUAAGCAGAAACAAGUUAACUAAACCUUAGGUCAAGAGGGAAAUGGGAAGAACUAGCAAAAGGAGAUAAUAACUCUCAGGGAUGGAAGCACCUAGCCAAUUGGAAGGGUGUGAAAAAGCGUGGAAAUAGAAAAUGGGACUGACAAAAUGUACCUUUUCUCUUACAAAUUAACUUGUGUCUUUGUGACGACAGCAUGUUUGGGUCAAGAGUUCUUGACUUUUGAAAUAUAUCAAAAUUCUUAAGGAGAAAGUUUUAUAAAAAUAGAGGUGUUUUUUUUGUGUGUGUGUAUAUGUGUGUGUGUAUAUAUGUGUGUGUGUGUAUACAUAUAUAUAUAUAUAUAUUUUUUUUUUUUUUUUUUUGAGACAGAGUUUUGCUCUUGUUGCCCAGGCUGGAGUGCAAUGGCGCGAUCUUGGCUCAUUGCAAUCUCCACCUCCCGGGUUCAAGCAAUUCUCCUGCCUCAGCCCCCCAAAUAGCUGGGAUUACAGGCAUAAGCCACCAGUCCUGGCUAAUUUUGUAUUUUUAGUAGAGAUGGGGUUUCUCCAUGUUGGUCAAGCUGGUCUCUAAAUCCCGACCUCAGGUGAUCCGCCCACCUCGGCCUCCUGAAUUGCUGGUGUUAAAGGUGUCAGCCACUGAGCCCAGCACAUAAAUACAUAUAUUUAUUAAGAGAAGGUGGUUCAUGUGAUUAUGGAGGCUGAGAAGUCUCACAAUUUGUUGUCUGUAAGUUAGAAACCCAGGAAAUCUGGUGAUGAAUACAGAUUGGAUCAGAGAACCGGGGAGCAGAUGGUGUGAAUCCCACCUGGAAAGCCAGAGAAGAUGAGAUGAAAUGAGACAUCACAGCUCAGCAGUGAGGAAAGACAAACUGGGUGAAUUCCUCCUUUCUCCACCUUUGGUUGGUUUCAGGCCCUCAAAAGACUGGAUGAUUCCCAAACACACUGGAGAGGACAAUCCACUUUACUGAGUCCGCUGCUUCAAAUGCUAAUCUCGUCUAGAAAUACCCUCACAGACACACUUAGAAAUAAUGUUUCAUCCAGACACCCCUUGGCCAGUCAAGUUGCCACAUAGAAUUAACCAUCAUACUCAGUACUACUCAUUUAGAAUUUCUGAUAAUAGGGCACAAGUAUGUGUAUUUGUUAGGGCCAAGUGGCUUUGUUGAGCCUUUUGAGAAAAUAACUAUGAGAAGGGGAGAUUUUGUAACCUGAAGACCAUCACUUAGCCCUAAGGAAGACUACCUCAUUUAUUGGCCUAAAAUCAGAAUUGAUGAAUGGUCUGUUGAUCAUGAUUGCAAAUAUGUCUCUAGUGGUCAGAGUAUAUACCAAUGACUUUUUUUAAAAAUGCAGUUCCUUGUUAAAUGUUAAAUGCAGCUCCUUCCAUAACUCCCUUCCUAUCCAUGGAAAAGGAAGCUAUGGCAGGAACUGCAUUUAACAUUUAACAAGAAUAUAUUUCUGUAUAUAUCCAGAAGUAUAUCCAUAUACUACACUACAGAUAUGUUUCUCUUUUCCCCACAGUCAACCAUUUUAGUAGGCUCAGUUGGGGUACUUUUAUUUGAAUGUGUUACUGAGUUUGUACAUUUUAAAUUUUUAUAGAUGAUAUUGUUAUACUGCUUAUUCUUCUUCCAGUGUUUUCCACUAGGUCCUGUAUUAUUAAAAUCCAGUCAGAUUGCUUUAUAGUCAGUUAAUCCAUUGCUUCUACUAAUGAUUUCAAUGGUGUGUCUAUAUGGUAAAUUUCAGUAGUUGAUCCAGAUCUGUAUCUCUUCCUGUAUUUAUGCCCUUUGCUAAGUAAAUUUUCAGGUCCCUCCCACGUGGACAGAGUGACCUGCCCCAUCCCUUGAAACUGGUCUUGGCCAUGUGAUUUGCUUUGUGAUAAAUGCUGACUUGAUAUAAGCAGAAGCUUAAAAAAGCAUUUGUGUGUUUCCACUAGUUCUUGUACCUCUGUCAUUGUAAUGAAAAGACAUACUCAGCUUAACCUACUGGUCCCAGGAAGAGGAUGAGCAAUAACGUGGAACAGAGCCAACCUAGACGUGUAUAAGUAAGCCAGCUGAACUGUGAAUGUAUGAGCAAGUCAGGCCCAGAUCAAUGGAAUCCCACAGAUGCAUGAGAAAUAAAUGCAUGCUAUUGAGAUUUUGUGGUUGUAUGCAACAUUAUUGUGGCAAUAACUAACCAAUAGACUGUACUAUGAGAAUUUGUAUUCUCUUGCUGAUUUUGAAUUCAGGAUGUCAAUUAUGGGAAGGCUAAUCAUUUGACUCAAGAAUAAAACAACUU
This 5867-nucleotide long non-coding RNA is filed under the name Homo sapiens (human). RNAcentral describes it as "HSALNT0264443". Lineage: Eukaryota; Metazoa; Chordata; Mammalia; Primates; Hominidae. The record is from RNAcentral.